Molecule: ribosomal RNA, 217 nt
Filed under: uncultured bacterium
Lineage: Bacteria
Description: partial 16S ribosomal RNA
Rfam family: Bacterial small subunit ribosomal RNA
Source: RNAcentral
ACGCUCGACACCUACGGGAGCAGCAGUAGGGAAUCUUCCACAAUGGACGCAAGUCUGAUGGAGCAACGCCGCGUGAGUGAAGAAGGUUUUCGGAUCGUAAAGCUCUGUUGUUGGUGAAGAAGGAUAGAGGUAGUAACUGGCCUUUAUUUGACGGUAAUCAACCAGAAAGUCACGGCUAACUACGUGCCNNNCGCCGAGUAUGNGCGGCGNGNGAGAG